This 420-nucleotide ribosomal RNA is filed under the name Triticum aestivum (bread wheat). RNAcentral describes it as "partial small subunit ribosomal RNA". Lineage: Eukaryota; Viridiplantae; Streptophyta; Magnoliopsida; Poales; Poaceae. The record is from RNAcentral.
AUGAAUUUGCAUAUCAAAACUUGGGAGACUAAAAAUAUAAUCUUAAUUAAGCGUAGCAUCCCCAAGCUUGGGAAAAACAUUAAUUGCAACAAAUAUAUUCUCAAAUAUGUCAUCCUCAUCAAACAUAGCUUCCCCAAGCUUGGGCCUUUACGUAUCAUAAACAUAAUUACUCUCAUCAUUAAUAGUAUAGAUAGCGCCGAUAGUAUAGCAAUUAUUAUAUUAUUCCAAGCAAGUGCCAAAAAGAUUUUCAAGAUCAUAAGAAGUAUCAUUAUCUUCCACAAUUAUAUUUUCAUGAGGCACAAUAGUAAUAGGAGCAACUUUAUUUGGGAGAGAUACCUUUUUACCUCUCUUCCUUUUUCUUUUCUUCUUCUUCACCACAUCAUGUGUGGGUUCAAUCCUCUUUUUGAAGCUCCUUAUUAA